UUGCAUAUUCCCAAAGCGGAGGAAAAGAAACCAACAGGGAUUGCCUCAGUAACGGCGAGUGAAGCGGCAAAAGCUCAAAUUUGAAAUCCCCCCGGGGAGUUGUAAUUUGAAGAUUGCGUCUUGGAGGCGACCGUGUCUAUGUUCCUUGGAACAGGACGUCACAGAGGGUGAGAAUCCCGUGCGGCACGGCCCCCGGCUCCUUAUAAGGCGCUCUCGACGAGUCGAGUUGUUUGGGAAUGCAGCUCAAAGUGGGUGGUAAAUUCCAUCUAAAGCUAAAUACAGGCGAGAGACCGAUAGCGAACAAGUACAGUGAUGGAAAGAUGAAAAGCACUUUGAAAAGAGAGUGAAACAGCACGUGAAAUUGUUGAAAGGGAAGGGCAUGCCGUCAGAUUGUCAGUGUGGGUAAGAAGCGGGGUACAAAGACUGUGGAACGUGGCCCUCGGGUGUUAUAGCCGCAGUUCAUGCCCCGUCUCUUUCCGAGGCCUGCUUUGAGGACACCGACGUAAUGACGGUACGCCGCCCGUCUUAAAAACCCGGAACCA
This 542-nucleotide ribosomal RNA is filed under the name Kodamaea ohmeri. RNAcentral's name for it is "partial large subunit ribosomal RNA". It matches the Rfam family "Eukaryotic large subunit ribosomal RNA", at positions 36 to 669 of the family's 3401-position model. Lineage: Eukaryota; Fungi; Ascomycota; Pichiomycetes; Serinales; Debaryomycetaceae. The record is from RNAcentral.